Molecule: small nucleolar RNA, 136 nt
Organism: Hyla sarda
Lineage: Eukaryota; Metazoa; Chordata; Amphibia; Anura; Hylidae
Source: RefSeq, a predicted model, not a curated record
UGCGGCUCUAAUCCAAGCUGUGACAGCCCCCACUCAUGGGUGUCACGGUUAUUCCGAGCCCAGAGAGACGGCUCCUGACGGUCGCUCUUCAGGCUUAUACUUCUGCCUAAUAGCAACAUAAUGGGAGCCGACAUGU